This 309-nucleotide ribosomal RNA is filed under the name uncultured archaeon. RNAcentral's name for it is "bacterial SSU rRNA". It matches the Rfam family "Archaeal small subunit ribosomal RNA", at positions 526 to 834 of the family's 1478-position model. The record is from RNAcentral.
CUGCCGUGUUAGUCUAUCGGGAAAUCGACGCGCUCAACGCGUCGGCGUCCGGUGGAAACUGCACGGCUUGGGGCCGGAAGACUCGACGGGUACGUCCGGGGUAGGAGUGAAAUCCUGUAAUCCUGGACGGACCACCAAUGGCGAAAGCACGUCGAGAAGCCGGACCCGACGGUGAGGGACGAAAGCCAGGGUCUCGAACCGGAUUAGAUACCCGGGUAGUCCUGGCUGUAAACGAUGCUCGCUAGGUAUGUCGCGCACCAUGAGUGCGCGAUGUGCCGCAGUGAAGACGAUAAGCGAGCCGCCUGGGAA